GACGAACGCUGGCGGCGUGCUUAACACAUGCAAGUCGAACGGAAAGGCCCUGCUUUUGUGGGGUGCUCGAGUGGCGAACGGGUGAGUAACACGUGAGUAACCUGCCCUUGACUUUGGGAUAACUUCAGGAAACUGGGGCUAAUACCGGAUAGGAGCUCCUGCUGCAUGGUGGGGGUUGGAAAGUUUCGGCGGUUGGGGAUGGACUCGCGGCUUAUCAGCUUGUUGGUGGGGUAGUGGCUUACCAAGGCUAUGACGGGUAGCCGGCCUGAGAGGGUGACCGGCCACAUUGGGACUGAGAUACGGCCCAGACUCCUACGGGAGGCAGCGGUGGGGAGUAUUGCACAAUGGGCGGGAGCCUGAUGCAGCAACGCCGCGUGCGGGAUGACGGGCUUCGGGUUGUAAACCGCUGUCGCCUGUGACGAAGCGUGAGUGACGGUAAUGGGUAAAGAAGCACCGGCUAACUACGUG
This 468-nucleotide ribosomal RNA is filed under the name uncultured bacterium. RNAcentral describes it as "partial 16S ribosomal RNA". It matches the Rfam family "Bacterial small subunit ribosomal RNA", at positions 28 to 507 of the family's 1533-position model. The record is from RNAcentral.